UUUCCGCUGUUUCUUUUUUCUACUACCAAAGCCCUGAAAAACUUCCUCAGUUCCCCCAAAACUCCUAUGUGGUUAGGACCAUUUCACAUGGAUACCUAAUUUAAUGAUGUAAUUGUUAUAAGUGCUCUUUGGGGAACUAAUGGACCUGAGCGAAGUUCCCAUUCCGGCAUUCUCUUGCAUUCGUAUGACAGUGGAACAGAACAAUAUCAUAUAGCCAACUCCAUCCCUAACAAUGGUCUUUGCUGUUGGCAUUUGCUUAACCAGUCUUUAGUUCCUGUUUGGCAAACUUUAUAAGGUGCUACACGGCAGAUG
Molecule: long non-coding RNA, 312 nt
Filed under: Sus scrofa (pig)
Lineage: Eukaryota; Metazoa; Chordata; Mammalia; Artiodactyla; Suidae
Description: lncRNA (ENSSSCG00065030566.1)
Source: RNAcentral